Molecule: long non-coding RNA, 1762 nt
Filed under: Triticum aestivum (bread wheat)
Lineage: Eukaryota; Viridiplantae; Streptophyta; Magnoliopsida; Poales; Poaceae
Description: long non-coding RNA (TAES_LNC010036)
Source: RNAcentral
ACACAACCCAUGUAAUACAUAAGGGAAAAGAUACAUAGUUGGCUUACAAUCGCCACUUCACACAAUUACAUGAAUAAAGCAUUACAUCAACCAAAUACAAUCAAGGUCCGACUACGGAACCAAAAUAAAAGAAGAACCCCAAAUGCGACAAGGUCCCCGAUCGACCCCAACUGGGCUCCACUACUGAUCAACUAGAACGAAACGACGCAAAGGACAAGAUCUUCAUCGAGCUCCUCCUGAGCUUGGUUGUGUCAUCUGCACGGACUCAUCGGCACCUGCAAGUUGGUUUUGGAAGUAUCUGUGAGUCACGGGGACUCAGCAAUCUCGCACCCUCGCGAUCAAGACUAUUUAAGCUUAUGGGUAAGGUAAAGGUAAGAGGUGGAGCUGCAGCAAGCGACUAGCAUAUAUGGUGGCUAACAUACGCAAAUGAGAGCGAGAAGAGAAGGCAAAGCACGGUCGAUAAAAGUAUGAUCAAGAAGUGAUCCUAAAACAACCUACGUCAAGCAUAACUCCAACACCGUGUUCACUUCCUGGACUUUGCCGGAAAGAGACCAUCACGGUAACACACGCGGUUGAUGCAUUUUAAUUAAGGUCAACUUCAGGUUUUCUACAACCGGACAUUAACAAAUUUCCAUCUGCCCAUAACCGCGGGCACGGCUUUCGAAAGUUCAAAUCCCUGCAGGGGUGUCCCAACUUAGCCCAUGACAAGCUCUCACGGUCAACGAAGGAAUAGACCUCCUCCCGAGAUGUUCCGAUCAGACUCGGUAUCCCGGUUCUUUAAGACAUUUCGACAAGUUAAAACAAAUCCAGCAACACCGUCCGAAUGUGCCGACAAAUCCCGAUAGGAGCUGCACAUAUCUCUUUCUCAGGGCACACUCAGAUUGUCCUAGGUACGGGUAGGCCAGCCCAGAGUUUCCCCUGGUGGCCACCGGCAGCUGACAGGUGGACCAACACUCAGAGGAGCACUGGCCCGGGGGGGUUAAAAUAAUGAUGACCCUUGAGUCUGCAGAACCCAAGGGAAAGAAAAGGCUAGGUGGCAAAUGGUAAAACCAAUGUUGGGCAUUGCUGGAGGAGUUUUACUCAAGGCGAACUGUCAAGGGGUUCCCAUAAUAGCCCAACCGCGUAAGGAACGCAAAAUCCGGGAACAUAACACCGAUAUGACGGAAACUAGGGCGGCAAGAGUGGAACAAAACACCAGGCAUAAGGCCGAGCCUUCCACCCUUUACCAAGUAUAUAGAUGCAUUAAUUAAAUAAGAUAUAUUGUGAUAUCCCAACAAGUAAACAUGUUCCAACAAGGAACAACAUCUCCAUGUUCCAACAAGGAACAAACUUCAAUCUUCACCUGCAACUAACAACGCUAUAAGAGGGGCUGAGCAAAGCGGUAACAUAGCCAAACAACGGUUUGCUAGGACAAGGUGGGUUAGAGGCUAGGUUCAACAAUAUGGGAGGCAUGAUAAGCAAGUGGUAGGUAUCGCAGCAUAGGCAUGGCAAAAAAGCGAGCAUCUAGCAAGCAAAGAUAGAAGUGAUUUCGAGGGUAUGAUCAUCUUGCCUGAAAUCCCGCAAGGAAGAAGAAACGAGUCCAUGAAGAAGACAAACGUACGUAGUCGAACGGAUCCUCACAAACGCAACGUUAUCGGAACCAACCCGAAGAAGCAACACCGGAAAGAAAGCAAACAAUAUAGUAAAACAACCAUCACAUAAUCAUGGCACGAAGCGCAAUCAAGUAUGAUGCAUGUUCGGUUUAAAGAGGCAUGGCAUGGCA